GACGCACGCUGGCGGCGUGCUUAACACAUGCAAGUCGAACGGAAAGGCCCUGCUUUUGUGGCGUGCUCGAGUGGCGACCGGGUGAGUAACACGUGAGUAACCUUCCCUUGACGUUGCGAUAACUUCAGGAAACUUGGGCUACUACCGGAUAGGAGCUCCUGCGGCAUGGUGGGUGUUGGACCGUUUCGGCGGUUGGGGAUGGACUCGCGGCUUAUCAGCGUGUUGGUGGGGUAGUGGCUGACCAAGGCCUCGACGGGUAGCCGGCCUGAGAGGGUGACCGGCCACAUGGGGACUGAGAUACGGCCCAGACUCCUACGGGAGGCAGCAGUGGGGAAUAUUGCACAAUGGGCGGAAGCCUGAUGCAGCAACGCCGCGUGCGGGAUGACGGCCUUCGGGUUGUAAACCGCUUUCGCCUGUGACGAAGCGUGAGUGACGGUAAUGGGUAAAGAAGCACCGGCUAACUACGUG
This 468-nucleotide ribosomal RNA is filed under the name uncultured bacterium. Its description in RNAcentral is "partial 16S ribosomal RNA". It matches the Rfam family "Bacterial small subunit ribosomal RNA", at positions 28 to 507 of the family's 1533-position model. The record is from RNAcentral.